Non-coding RNA from Hydra vulgaris (swiftwater hydra), 354 nucleotides. Lineage: Eukaryota; Metazoa; Cnidaria; Hydrozoa; Anthoathecata; Hydridae. The record is from RefSeq and is a predicted model, not a curated record.
GUUAAUUUUUUUUUAAAUUGCUUAUUGACCUCUUUUUAAAUUUUUAGAAGCUUUAGAUGACGAUUUGAUGUUUAUGGUGCAACCACAACAAAAUGCUCAACAACAACCACAUUCUGAACCGCAACAACAACUACAAUCAGUGCAACAACAACCUGGUAAGAAAUUAAUUUUAUACGUUUUUCAAUAAUCUUUUUUUUAUAAAAAACCUAUUUUUAUUUGUUGUGCUGUUGAUAUCAAAUUGUUUUUCUAAUACUUAAUUAUUACUUUUUAUCUUUUUUUAUAUUUUAACUAGAAACACAACAAUUACAAUAUGGUAAGAAAAAACCUUUUGUUUUAUUGAAUGUAAAUCUUUCU